RNAcentral lists this ribosomal RNA (140 nucleotides) under uncultured bacterium. RNAcentral's name for it is "partial 16S ribosomal RNA". It matches the Rfam family "Bacterial small subunit ribosomal RNA", at positions 355 to 509 of the family's 1533-position model. The record is from RNAcentral.
UGGGGGAUAUUGCACAAUGGGGGGAAACCCGUGAUGCAGCGACGCCGCGUGAGUGAAGAAGUAUUUCGGUAUGUAAAGCUCUAUCAGCAGGGAAGAAAAAAGACGGUACCUGACUAAGAAGCCCCGGCUAACUACGUGCC